UGAGCAUCUUGAAUUAGAGAUUUCAGUAUGAAGAAGUCCUAAUAGUUUUGAAGAAUUCUGGUAAGCAUGAUUAUCGAAAUAAUCCUAUAGAGUUGUGUUGUACGUAAGUUACAAAGAGUAGUUGAUUUUAAGUGGUAGCUGUGUUUUAAGUGUGAAGAUCUGCUUUCUGCUGUGGUGAUGUGGCAAGGGCCAGACUGAUCCCCUGCCUUGAACAGCUAGAAACUGUAAAAUGUAUAUGAAAUAACGGUUUCGAGACCUAUGACAGGCGGAGCGGAAGUGUGUGAUCCCUGGCAGAAGGUGUAGAGAGUGAGGUGAGCCCAUAAGAGCCCAGCCUGGUGCCUGGUGCCUGGUGCCUGGUGGCAGUUCCCAGGGUGCACAUCAGGGGAAGGAACAAAUGUGGUCUUGCUGAAUCAAAGAGAAUUGCUGAAUUGGCAUUUGGGGAGGCCAGAGUAGCUAAAGUUUGCAGCGAGUUGUACUGGAGAGGAGAGAGCUUCCCGGAGAGAGGGCUGCAGAAAUCUACAAGGAGUCUGCUUAGUCUUUUGGCUUAGUACUGAUUUGCACAUGUGUGACCAGAAAUUUCCUGAGUCCAGGAAAAGUGCUGGAAAGCAGUCCGCCAAACAGUUCCCAGAAAUCAAUGUAGGGCUGGGAAUAAAAUUCCCACCACCUGAAAUGGCAACGACUUUUAACACAUGGGGCAUCGGGUAGGAUUCCCAGCAGAGUAUUAUCUUAGUAGUGAAGUAAUUAAUCCUAGAUCGAAAGCUAGUCUGGACCCACAAUGUCUGGCAUCCAAAAACAUAGCUGGCAUACACAGGAGCCAUGAGAAUAUGACUUGUAACCAGGAGAAAAAUCAGUCACUAGAAAGGUACAGAAAAAAUGGAAGCAGUUGGCAUUAAAUAAGGAUAUUCAAAUAGCUUUUAUAGAUAUAUGGGAAAACAGGAAUGUGACAGAUGAAUUGGAAGAUGUAUUUUUAAAAGCCUGAGUGGAACUUCUCAGGAUGAAAACAACAAUAUCUGAAAAUUAAAACAAAAAAACAACUUUGGAUGGAAUUAAGAGCAGAUUAGACAUAGAAUAUCAAUGAACUUGAGUGAAAAUAAAAACUGUCCAACUGAUGGACACAGAAAAAAAAAAAAACUCGAAGAAAAGACAAUAGGGAGUUGGUUACAGCAAGGCACGUGUAUUCGUAUGGAGUCCUAGAAGGACAGGGCAGAGAAGAGGCCUAAGAAAGUAUUUGAGUAAAUAACAGAUGAAAUGUUUACACAGAUGAUGAAAAAUGUAACUCCACAUAUUCAAGAAGUUCAAAGAACCUCAAGAUCAUGAAGAAAAUCCUGCUGAUGGACAUCCUAGUCAAACGGAUAAAACCCGAUGAUAAAGAGAACAGUUGUAAAGCACCUGGAGAAAGACAGGAUACUUGCACAGAACAGAGGACCACACACACUUGUGGUCAGAAACUACUCGAGCUGGAACACAACGGAGUGAGGGACAGACAACUUUACAUAAAACCCCCACCACCUGCCGUUUGUCUAUUUCCCAUCAAAAACAUCUUUCAAAUAUGAUAGCAAAAAAAAAAAAAAGUUUCUCAGAGAAGCAAAAUGAAAGAGACUUUAUCUAUAGACCUUAUUUCAGGAAACACUAAAGCAAGUUUUGGUGCAGCAAGAAAAUCCUAGGUGGAAAUGAGGAUCUACAGGAAGAAAAGAGGAGCUCUGGAAGUGGUGAAUAUGUGGGUAAAUAUAAAAGAUCUCUUUCCUCAUUUAAGAGUCUUUUAAAAUGGUAAUUGACUGCUUAAAGCCAAAUAAUGUAUUGUGGGUUAUGAUGUCUUUAGAAGUAAAGUGUAUCUCAACGACAACACUUAAGUGUGAAUCUUCAGAACUAGUUAAAUAGACUGCAUCCUCUGAGUCAGAAACCUGCUUCCCCAGGGCUCAGGGCAACUUGUGUGUGUAGCAGCCACACAGUAGAAUGGCACAUGUGACGGACGUGUGUAUGUGCUGCUCGUUCUCCACAUCCCCCCCCUUUCCCGGCUCUGCACCCCCAGGGGAUGUCCCCUAGGGACGGCCUCAUCAGGGAUUGUGCUUAGGUUUGAACACGGGAGGUACUCAGUCAGCGGGCGGGAGGAGAGAGGUUGGAACACUUAACCCCACGCCCCUGCCUGGACCUCGGUGUGAGUGGUGGGUGUGAGUGGUGUCUGUGCCCGAAGGGCUGCAGCACACCCUCCCCCCCUCCCCCUGCUGCCCUCCUGGCGCCAUAGACCGUUUUUCAGUUAACGCUUCCUUCUCCUUGCUCUUCACAAGUUGGGGUGUUAACUAUUUCUGGGUGCUUACCGACCUCUGGUUGGUUUUGGUUUCCUUAAUUCAGAACACAUACCUGGACAUGGUUCCUCUAGUGAAUGUUCUUAGGUUAAUAUUUUGAGUGUAGCACUUGUUUUCUGUGCCAGGUGUUAAACGAGCAUUUAACACAAUUCUGAGAAUCAGUUACUGGGACAGAAUCAGUUACUGGGACAUGUGCCUCGUCGGGCAUAGACUGACAUCCAUCAAGAUUUCCCACACUAAAUAUCAAUAUUUUCUGUUUUUAACCAGUUCAGUAGAAAUUAUAACAAGCAACAAAAUUCUUUGUGUUUUUUUGUUUUGCUGCAAAUCUAAAUGGCUCCAUAGGUUGUUGUCUGCUACAUAUCCAGUGGUCUUGCACUUACACUAACUCUUGAAACCAAAACAUUUAUGAAGUCUUAUGCUACCUCUCGAUUAGCCAAGCAAUUUACAACAAAAAGAAAAAAAAAUGUCAUUUAUGUUCAAUAUGUAUGGACAAGGAAAAAGAUAGUUUCUGAGUAAGGCAGAAGGGAAUGAUGCUUCAUGCUUCCUAGCUUGUCACUUAGAAACACUGUGCUGUGCAGUUAAAAUGUCCUCAUUCCAGAGUCUGUUGCUUUUUAUUACAUAUAAUCUAUGUAAUCUGUAACCCCCACACAAGACUUCCAUGUCAGCAGGUCAGCAUUACUACAGACAAUCACUUCAGGGGCUCCACCCCAGUGCCUGUCACACACUACCCAGCCUCGUGAAGUGUGAUAAGUUAGGAUGAAAUAAACCACCAAAGAGGCCCAACGUAGCAGCACCGUCCUGUCAUUUGUCGAAUACCUCUUAAGACUUCAUUUCACCUUUCUGUACCCUCUCUCACCCAGUCUGGUAACCACUUUUGAAGGGAAAUAUUGCAUCGGGCUGCACAGCUGUAUUUUCUUUUUCUUUUUUAAAUUUUUUUAAUGCGCCCAAUGUUUGUUUAUUUCUGAGAGAGAGACAAAGCAUGAGUGGGGAGGGGCAGAGAGAGAGGGAGACACAGAAUCUGAAGCAGGCUCCAGGCUCCGAGCUGUCAGCACAGAGCCCGACACAGGGCUCGAACCCACAAGCCGUGAGAUCAUGACCUGAGCCGAAGUCGGACGCUCAACUGACUGAGCCACCCAGGCACCCCUGUAUUUUCUCUCCCAUUUGUGUUUGCAUUUCGAUCUGCAUUUUGAAGAAGCUUUUCACGCAGGUGUUCCUUUUUGUACAACCGCAACGGCACCAUUCACACUGUAGUCUGUGCCAGUAAACUUGUGUAUAACUCUGAUCCUGUCUUUAAGGAAUUAGCUAGCAAAUGAUAUAAAUAUUUCAAAGCUUGGGCACAACUGGACUAGCACUGUGACAGUCAGCUGUGGCAGUGUCUGCAACAGUGCCGUGUGCCCUCUAGGUGGCAGCACAUAAGCCUAACAGCUUUUCCCUCCCCACCCCUUUGUCAUGCUGAAGGUCAGGCUACACUCACUCUCAUUAUCUUAGAAAACUUCAUCUCAUCAUGUCUGUCUGCAGCAUAGACACAGGCAGUGUAACAUCUUGUGACCAGCUCACAAGCAUGACCAGUAGCUAAGUUACGAGGUGCCUCCCAGCGUGGCUCACCCCACCUGUGGACUUGGUGGUGCCAUCUGGUAACUUUAUUUUCUUUGGGGGUCUUUGUAACUUAGGUCACAGUGACUACUCAUUGAAUCCAGGUAGUCUGGACAUCUUGUCAUUGAGCCUAUUCCUUUCAGAUGCUAAGAUUAAAUAAACCAGGGAACACCAACUUUAUUGAAUAACUAAGUCAUUAUACAUAGAUAUUUUACAACACCUAAAUCAUUAAAAGUGCCCAACAAAUAGUGUAGCUAUAGAAGCAGCCACUGGUAAGAUAAGAGAGAAAUACAAAUGAAGUGACAUUUGUUAUCAGAUUCUCAUUUAAAGCAUUGCUAUGAUUCCUAGCAUUAAAAUUAUUUACAAAAAACCCACAUCAAGCUGAGAUUCCCAAGAAGAUGGGGAAGCAGAUUAACUUCUAGCAUUUGUUAGAGAGGGGUUAUGUUAAGGAAGCAUAUUAAACUACCACUACCAUUGGAAUGGCUGUGUGGCUUUAUCUCCAAACCAUGGUGGCCACAGGGCCGCUCUAAGUGCAUGAACAAGUCAUAUAUACUUAUUCUGUUGUAUGUGUUUGUACAGAGCAGAAUGUGUCAGGCAAUGACAUCUGAGAUCUGGGCCACCUGUGCCUCACACACAAGGACAGGGCAGACAGCUAAUGAACAAGGUCAGCUGUUGUCCCUUUGGUGAGAAGCAGGCUGUAAGUUGCUGGCAUGUGUUUCCACUGCCUGGUGCACCUGGAGAGCAAGGGCGCCUGUGGGAGCUGUGGGAGCUCAGACUGGUGCACACACAUCUCUCUGCUGUGCUUGAAAAGAAAAUCUCUGUACCUGUAUGUUUACUGAGUAAACUGUUGAAUGAAUUAA
This is a long non-coding RNA of Neofelis nebulosa (Clouded leopard), 4756 nucleotides long. RefSeq lists it as uncharacterized. The transcript has 2 exons. The record is from RefSeq and is a predicted model, not a curated record. Lineage: Eukaryota; Metazoa; Chordata; Mammalia; Carnivora; Felidae.